GGCAUAUUAUGGGAAGCCGCACCUCCCCAAAAGGCAGGAUCGCCUUUGGCUGAGACCCCAUCGCAUCUGAUUCUCAAGGCAUGGACCUAGUCGCAGACACCUGUUGGAGUUUCCUGUCCCAUGCACCUGUGCAGACUCGCCCCCAUCUCCUGGCCCCCACAGAACAUCUGUGUCACCCGGGUCGGUCCCCUCUGCUCCGGGCUCCAUGAGGGAAGGAAUGGUGACUGUUGGUUAUGGUUGAUAUCAUAAUGGUGCCCAGUAAAUGCUUCUUGAAUGAAUGGAUGGAA
This is a long non-coding RNA of Herpailurus yagouaroundi (jaguarundi), 287 nucleotides long. RefSeq lists it as uncharacterized. NCBI's taxonomy places the organism in Eukaryota, Metazoa, Chordata, Mammalia, Carnivora, Felidae. The record is from RefSeq and is a predicted model, not a curated record. The transcript has 2 exons.